AGAGGGGGCAAGCGUUGUUCGGAAUUACUGGGCGUAAAGGGCGCGUAGGCGGCCCACUAAGUCGAACGUGAAAUCCCUGGGCUCAACCCAGGAACUGCGUCCGAGACUGGAGGGCUAGAAUCCGGGAGAGGGAUGUGGAAUUCCAGGUGUAGCGGUGAAAUGCGUAGAUAUCUGGAGGAACAUCGGUGGCGAAGGCGGCAUCCUGGACCGGUAUUGACGCUGAGGCGCGAAAGCCAGGGGAGCAAACGGGAUUAGAUACCCCGGUAGUCCUGGCCCUAAACGAUGAAUGCUUGGUGUGGCGGGUAUCGAUCCCUGCCGUGCCGAAGCUAACGCAUUAAGCAUUCCGCCUGGGGAGUACGGUCGCAAGGCUG
This 371-nucleotide ribosomal RNA is filed under the name uncultured bacterium. RNAcentral describes it as "bacterial SSU rRNA". It matches the Rfam family "Bacterial small subunit ribosomal RNA", at positions 527 to 896 of the family's 1533-position model. The record is from RNAcentral.